GGCGUUGAAGGGCGUAGGCUAUGAUGAUGCCAGGCAAAUCCGGCAUCAGAGCUGAAACCUGAAAGUACGGGGUCCCCUUCGGGGGAACCUGAGAGCGAGGGUAAUCAUACUCCCGAGAAAAUGGGCUAAACUCAUGUUGGCGGUACCCGUACCGCAAACCGACACAGGUAGUUGGGUAGAACAUACUAAGGCGUUGAGAGAUUCAUGGCUAAGGAACUAGGCAAACUGACCCCGUAACUUCGGGAUAAGGGGUCCUCACCUCCGGGUGAGGCGCAGAGAAUAGGUCCAGGCAACUGUUUAACAAAAACACAGGGCUGUGCGAACUCGAAAGAUGAAGUAUACAGCCUGACACCUGCCCGGUGCCGGAAGGUUAAGAGGAGAUGUCACCGCAAGGGAAGCAUUGAAUUGAAGCCCCGGUAAACGGCGGCCGUAACAAUAACGGUCCUAAGGUAGCGAAAUUCCUUGUCGGGUAAGUUCCGACCUGCACGAAUGGUGUAAUGAUCCGGACGCUGUCUCGGCCAUGAGCUCAGUGAAAUUGUAGUAUCGGUGAAGAUGCCGAUUACCCGCGAUGGGACGAAAAGACCCCGUGAACCUUUACUACAGCUUAGCAUUGACCUUGGUCAUCCGAUGUGUAGGAUAGGCCGGAGGCUUCGAAGCGGCGUCGCCAGGCGUUGUGGAGCCAUCCUUGAAAUACGGCCCUUUGGCUGUCUGAGGUCUAACGCGGAUAGUCGCGGACACUGCUUGGUGGGUAGUUUGACUGGGGUGGUCGCCUCCAAAAGCGUAACGGAGGCUUCCAAAGGUGCCCUCGGGCCGUUUGGUAAGCGGCCUUCAAGAGUGCAAUGGCAAAAGGGCGCUUGACUGGGAGGGAGACAUCCCGAGCAGGCAGGAAACUGGGGCAUAGUGAUCCGGCGGAUGUGUAUGGAAACUCCGUCGCUCAAAGGAUAAAAGGUACUCCGGGGAUAACAGGCUGAUCCCCCCCAAGAGCUCAUAUCGACGGGGUGGUUUGGCACCUCGAUGUCGGCUCGUCACAUCCUGGGGCUGGAGAAGGUCCCAAGGGUUGGGCUGUUCGCCCAUUGAAGUGGCACGCGAGCUGGGUUCAGAACGUCGUGAGACAGUUCGGUCUCUAUCUAUCGUGGGCGCAGGAGUUUUGAGUGGUGCUGUCACUAGUACGAGAGGACCGUGACGGACAGACCUCCGGUGUACCGGUUGUGCCGCCAGGCGCACCGCCGGGUAUCCGCGUCUGGAUCGGAUAAGCGCUGAAAGCAUCUAAGUGCGAAGCUUUCCACGAGAUUAGAACUCCAUUGAGGGUCGUCGCAGACGACGACGUUGAUAGGGCGCAGGUGUAAAGACGGCGACGUCAAAGCCGAGCGCUACUAAUUGCCC
Molecule: ribosomal RNA, 1383 nt
Filed under: metagenome
Description: bacterial LSU rRNA
Rfam family: Bacterial large subunit ribosomal RNA
Source: RNAcentral